GUACGUUGGUGUGAGUGUUGAAAGCGGCUGCUGUGUGUGUGUGUGUGUGUGUGUGUGUGUGUGUGUGUGUGUGUGUGUGUGUAUGUUGUGUAUCACGCACUGUAUAUUGUGCCAUGGUCUAGGUUUAAUUUGAGUGCGCUCGGGUGGAUGGGCUUCCCACCCCGUAUUUGAGUGCACCCCGUUUUUGAGUGCACUUGGGCGGAUGGGUUUCCCUGCCCCGGACAGAUGCCUGUGAGUAGGUACUGGGUUCCUACUCCGAAUAGCCGUUUUCUUUUUGUUUUCUGUUUUUAGAUAGCAGAAGUGGGAACGCCCCAGCUCUGGGAGACGUUCCAAGAGCCGAAUAUUGUCGGGAGAACCUGGCAACUGACAGUCGAAAAGAUCUGACUGUGACUUGACUUUGGAGGUCCCGUUCGGCUGCCUAUUUAAGUAUAGGCACGGACAAGUGUGCUUAGAUGUGUUAGUGUCUGUUGUCUGUAUUCUGUUUCUGUGUUUGGUAUCCCAGAAGCAGCUAAGGUUAAGCUGCAGUUUGGACCAGGUACUGAAGGUACCAGGCAUCUGUGGAAAUUGGUUAUAGGAUGCUUUGUCUUGGUCUUGUUUGUCUGGUUUGUUUUCUGUGGUAUUGUCCAGUGUCUUUUUGGCUUUUGUUUCGUUUUUGGACUUGGACUGACAACUGUGUUUGAAAUCUUGGACUGACAACUGUGUUUGAAAUCAUGAAACUGUUUGCUUUGUUUGUCAAGGAGUUUUACUUGGUCCUCUUGGUGCUUAACUUAAAAGUUAAAAAUAAUUUGCUUGAGAGAAAUUGUUUUCUGCCGGGGAGUUUUAUCUUUCUCUCUUGAGCCUCCUCCCCAAGGAGAGCUGCCCCUCUCUUUACUCCCAUUGUCCAGCCCAGCUGCUGUUAACCGUUGUGUAUGAAGGACUCCCGGUUAGCGAGUGAUCCGUCUGAAACAGGCAUUAACAAGAACCUGAAAGCUUUACCUUAGAUCCUGAAGAAAAAUUCUCCCUGUUGCUUAAACAUUCACAGCUUCUAAGGAAGGGACAGCACAGAGUAGAAAAAUGUAGGGGCUGAGGGUGGCAAGCAUGCAGGCCUGCUAGCAAGCUACAGGCUGCGCAUGGGCAGCAGCGCAGCUCUGGCCAAGUCAGCGUAAGAGGAGUUUCAAGGUAAGGAGGCCGGCUGGGGUUGACGCUUUGACAACAAAAAGAUAGCAUAGAGUUAAUGGUUGUAUUAUGAGACUUUUGGCCCUGAAAAAAAAAAUUCCAGUUGCUGCCUUCAGUGGCCAGACCUUCAACACUUGCUCACAAAAGGAGAGUGUUCAUUAAGAGAAGUUCUUUAAGGGAGCCUGCUUUAUCUGCUGGCCCUAUUCCAAGAGAGGAGUUGAUCUCCAACAUUAAGUAACCUUCCCUGUUAGUCAUCAUUGACAUGGAGAGUGCCUUUGAUCCUAUCCCCACAGCAGCCAGUUCCUGCCCCUGUGGUCAAAAUGCCCCAGGUUGGGGGGCAGAGAAGCCCCUAAAAUAGUUUCAAAGAAUCUACAACAAACUGUGAAGAACUUUGUUUUGCCAGUCAAAAUUUAGAAUUCAGGCUUUGGCUGUGGUUAAGGUCAGGAUUAAUGUUUUCUUUUCCAUGGGCCUUUAACCCAGUGAGACAGCUUGGUGAAGGACUACUACUACAGUCCUGAUAGCCCCAGGUGAACUGGUUACAAUUCUUUUGUCAGCCACUUAGUAUCGAACACCCAGGUUCUAACCCUCUCUCCAUCCUUUUGUUAUUAGUUCUUACUAGAAGCCUAGUGUCCUUCAGAGGCUGGGUUUAUUGAGAGACAGAGCCACUGAGCUGGCACUGAAGGGAGGUACUUCUUAAGUAAAAUCUAAGUCCAGAGAGAUAGUCGAUAACAGAUCAGCUGCCUCUCUGCUUGCCUUUCUGUUUCACAGGAACAAAGCUUGUACUUAUUUCUACAACGGCCUUUUUGUCCCAAGAAGGCCUCCUGGUUUAGCUGUGUGACUAAAUGCUAUUUGUCCUCUUCAGUGGACCUCUAUUCUCAAGAUUCUCUUGUUUUCUCACCAUCCCAUCUGAGAUGCUUGUUAGUAACUGUUACAGAUCUUCUUUACCACUGAGGAAAGACGGAAUCCUACUAGAGGACAGAAAGAAUGUUCCAGACACAGAUGGAAGGCCCUCACUUCUGCCUGUUGACUUGAAUACCCCUGAAGUCACCAGUACUUUUAACAAGUGCAAAUGUGGAGAGGGGCAGUCCUCCUGGCUCUCCUGCAGGCUACCAUAGAAGAGCACAAACUUCGAGGUCACAUAAUGUCACAGAAGCCACCUGAGAUGGAUGUCAUCAGAAGAAACUGUAGAGUCACUAAGCCACCAGGUUGAGCUGUUAUCAACAAAGCCCAUAGUCACUGUGUUUCCUACAAAUACCUUGGUUCUCCAAGGAAGGGCAAUCUCACUUGGCUUAGUGUUUAUCGCAUUGGACAUCAUUUUCCACCAAAACAGGCUGAGCAGAACAUCCCCUGAAACCCCUUUGCACAGAAUGGUUAUUUCCUUGGAGGGGGAGACAGAGCUUGGUCCCUGAGUCUCCAAAGUCACACAGCCAAGGUAAAGUGUAGCCAGGGUUUGGCGGUUUCUUGCAUUAGCAACAGCAUGUCUCUAAUUCUUGCCCAGUGUUAAAGUUGUACUGAUUCACUCCCCUAGAGAACAGGUGUGAUUCAGAAGGAUUGGAGGGGGAAAAUGGUACCUAAACACCUAAACUCGCUCUUAAAACUACACAUUUAAUCCAGCAAAGACAAGGAGAAAUGUCUGGAGAAAAAGCAGGGCCACACUGAGCAGACACAUGGAUAAAAGUGGGAGGGGCAAGGUGCCUGGGAGAGCCAUCAUUAGUUCUGAAACAGCUGCGUUUAUUCACUUUGCUUUUUACCCAUCGGAUCAAUACCACAUAAACGUGAGAGAAUGGGAGACAAGAGGAAAAGGAGAGGGAGGUCAUGCAAAACUUGAGAUUUAAGCUGAAGUUCUAGAAACUGGAAACUUCUACAGCUGACGCAUGUAAACCUGGUGUGUCUUUGGGUAGCUAUUACAAGGCUGGAGGAUGUCAAAGACAGCUCUGGAACACCAUGGUUCUCUUCUGUUUGUUUUCUCUACCGUAAACUUAAGUACCAGACAGAAAAUUGCUUGAUAAUAAACAUGUAUUAUCACAAAAUAUAA
Molecule: long non-coding RNA, 3190 nt
Organism: Rattus norvegicus (Norway rat)
Lineage: Eukaryota; Metazoa; Chordata; Mammalia; Rodentia; Muridae
Source: Ensembl